This 253-nucleotide ribosomal RNA is filed under the name uncultured bacterium. RNAcentral's name for it is "partial 16S ribosomal RNA". It matches the Rfam family "Bacterial small subunit ribosomal RNA", at positions 524 to 776 of the family's 1533-position model. The record is from RNAcentral.
UACGGAGGAUGCAAGCGUUAUCCGGAAUGAUUGGGCGUAAAGCGUCCGCAGGUGGCUGUGUAAGUCUGCUGUUAAAGAGUGAGGCUCAACCUCAUAAAAGCAGUGGAAACUACACGGCUAGAGUGCGUUCGGGGCAGAGGGAAUUCCUGGUGUAGCGGUGAAAUGCGUAGAUAUCGAGAGGAACACCUGCGGCGAAGGCGGGUUGCUGGGCUGAUACUGACGCUGAGGCGCGAAAGCCAGGGGAGCGAACGGG